This 249-nucleotide ribosomal RNA is filed under the name uncultured prokaryote. Its description in RNAcentral is "partial 16S ribosomal RNA". It matches the Rfam family "Bacterial small subunit ribosomal RNA", at positions 524 to 772 of the family's 1533-position model. The record is from RNAcentral.
UACGGAGGAUGCAAGCGCUAUCCGGAUUUAUUGGGUUUAAAGGGUGCGCAGGUUGUUUGAUAGGUCAGUGGUGAAAGUCUGUCGCUUAACGGUAGGAUUGCCAUUGAUACUGUUGGACUUGAAUAUGGAUGAGGUAGGCGGAAUGUGUAGUGUAGCGGUGAAAUGCAUAGAUAUUACACAGAACACCGAUUGCGAAGGCAGCUUACUAAUCCAUCAUUGACGCUGAGGCACGAAAGCGUGGGGAUCAAA